Molecule: long non-coding RNA, 238 nt
Organism: Solanum verrucosum
Lineage: Eukaryota; Viridiplantae; Streptophyta; Magnoliopsida; Solanales; Solanaceae
Exons: 3
Source: RefSeq, a predicted model, not a curated record
CAGAAACUCAGAGCAACCCCUUUCAUCCAAUGCCAGAUAAUUUAGCUGUAAGGAGACUUCAGCAUUCUUCAAAAGCUAUCUGCUCAGAGCUUCCACAGCAGUCGUCCCAUAAGUGUGAUCAAUCUUCCACCCAAAGUUGUGGUGACAGUGUAUUCUCUGAUGAAAGGUAAUUGUGAAAAUGAAACUUGUUAACAUGUGGAAUAGCAAAUUACAUACUCAAGGGGUGUGCACAAGUACA